This 347-nucleotide ribosomal RNA is filed under the name uncultured bacterium. Its description in RNAcentral is "partial 16S ribosomal RNA". It matches the Rfam family "Bacterial small subunit ribosomal RNA", at positions 338 to 696 of the family's 1533-position model. The record is from RNAcentral.
CCUACGGGAGGCAGCAGUCGAGAAUCUUUCACAAUGGGGGAAACCCUGAUGGUGCGACGCCGCGUGGGGGAAUGAAGGUCUUCGGAUUGUAAACCCCUGUCAUGUGGGAGCAAAUUAAACAGAUAGUACCACAAGAGCAAGAGCCGGCUAACUCUGUGCCAGCAGCUGCGGUAAUACGGAGGGCUCAAGCGUUGUUCGGAAUCACUGGGCGUAAAGCGUGCGUAGGCUGUUUCGUAAGUCGGGUGUGAAAGGCGCGGGCUCAACCCGCGGACGGCACAGGGAACUGCGAGGCUAGAGUGAGGGAGGGGGAGGCGGAAUUCGCGGUGUAGCGGUGAAAUGCGUAGAUA